ACAUGUCUAACUGGUGAACCGGCUCUGAUACCAAAUGUAACGACCCAGCCCACUAGCAACAAUAACUCGUUGGGCCCAACCACUGGCCCAAAAUGCUUAAGCCCAGUUAUUAUUACUAGUGUCUAAGUCUCUUAUAAACCCAAUGACAAUCCCAUUCCCAUCCGAUGUGGGACUAUUGGGGUGUCACAAUAGAUCUUAUUCUAAAUAGUUUAAAAAAUUUUCUAACCAAAAUUCAAUUGAUUUGGAUGGCUUUACACCGUUAAACGAAAAAAUGCCUCAUAUCUAUCAUUAAAAUUACAAAUUUUGAAACCCUUUGAUCAUUAGGUCAAUGAUGUCGAAAUGAUUUGAAAUUUAGUUUCUAGAUACUUUAAGUGGUAUAAAUCAU
This 385-nucleotide long non-coding RNA is filed under the name Ananas comosus (pineapple). RNAcentral's name for it is "long non-coding RNA (ACOM_LNC044200)". Lineage: Eukaryota; Viridiplantae; Streptophyta; Magnoliopsida; Poales; Bromeliaceae. The record is from RNAcentral.